RNAcentral lists this small RNA (556 nucleotides) under Pongo abelii (Sumatran orangutan). RNAcentral's name for it is "processed transcript". Lineage: Eukaryota; Metazoa; Chordata; Mammalia; Primates; Hominidae. The record is from RNAcentral.
AUUAGUGCAGAGUUUUCUGGUUUCCCUUUAAAGAGAAGGCACAGCCAUUUGACUCUUGAGCUUAUUUAAACAAGUCACCAGUCCUUGACUCCAGAACUAAAGCCUUAUAUGUUCUUUCUGUUUGGCUGAGCCAGUAAUUAUUGAUCACUUCUUCUUCCCAAGAGAUGACACAGGCUGUCCUAGCAGCCAGUCAGUGUCUCCUGUGAAGACACCCUCAGACGCUGGAAACAGUCCCAUUGGCUUUUGCCCUGGAAGUGAUGAAGACUUCACCAGAAAGAAAUGCACGAUUGGAAUGGUUGGUGAAGGAAGCAUUCAGUCCUCUCGAUAUAAGAAGGAAUCAAAGUCAGGCCUUGUGAAACCAGUCGAGGUCCUCAUGGGCGGAGUAAUGGAGCUUCGUCGCACAAGCCUGGCAGCAGCCCAUCAUCCCCGCGGGAAAAGGACCUUCUGUCCAUGCUGUGCAGGAAUCAGCUGAGCCCUGUCAAUAUCCAUCCCAGUUAUGCACCUUCUUCCCCAAGCAGUAGCAACUCAGGCUCCUACAAAGGAAGCGACUGUAGCC